RNAcentral lists this ribosomal RNA (97 nucleotides) under Euceraea sp. US:Redden7267. Its description in RNAcentral is "partial 5.8S ribosomal RNA". It matches the Rfam family "5.8S ribosomal RNA", at positions 63 to 154 of the family's 154-position model. From Rfam's summary of the family: 5.8S ribosomal RNA (5.8S rRNA) is a component of the large subunit of the eukaryotic ribosome. It is transcribed by RNA polymerase I as part of the 45S precursor that also contains 18S and 28S rRNA. The record is from RNAcentral. Lineage: Eukaryota; Viridiplantae; Streptophyta; Magnoliopsida; Malpighiales; Salicaceae.
UGGUGUGAAUUGUAUAAUCCCAUGAACCAUCGAGUCUUUGAAAGCAAGUUGUGUCGGAGGCUUCAUGGCCAAUAGCAUGUUCGCCUGGGUGUCACGC